CCUACGGGUGGCAGCAGUGGGGGAUAUUGCACAAUGGGGGAAACCCUGAUGCAGCGACGCCGCGUGGGUGAAGAAGGAUUUCGGUAUGUAAAGCCCUAUCAGCAGGGAAGAAAGAAGACGGUACCUGACGAUGAUGCCCCGGCUAACUACGUGCCAGCAGCCGCGGUAAUACGGAGGCGGCGAGCGUGAACCGGAUGGACGGGGGGGAAAGGGAGCGUAGAGGGCUGUGCAAGCCAGGAGUGAAAGCCCGGGGCCCAACCCCGGGACUGCGCUUGGAACUGUGCGGCUGGAGUGCGGGAGGGGCAGGCGGAAUUCCUGGUGUAGCGGGGAAAUGCGUAGAUAUCAGGAGGAACACCGGCGGCGAAGGCGGCCUGCUGGACCGCGACUGACGUUGAGGCUCGAAAGCGUGGGGAGCGAACAGGAUUAGAUACCCCUGUAGUC
Molecule: ribosomal RNA, 441 nt
Filed under: uncultured bacterium
Lineage: Bacteria
Description: partial 16S ribosomal RNA
Rfam family: Bacterial small subunit ribosomal RNA
Source: RNAcentral